GGACAAUUAGCUCAGUUGGUUAGAGCGUUCGCUUCACACGCGAGAGGUCACUGGUUCGAAUCCAGUAUUGUCCA
This 74-nucleotide transfer RNA is filed under the name Candidatus Falkowbacteria bacterium RIFOXYB2_FULL_34_18. RNAcentral describes it as "tRNA-Val". It matches the Rfam family "tRNA". Rfam says of the family: Transfer RNA (tRNA) molecules are approximately 80 nucleotides in length. Lineage: Bacteria; Candidatus Falkowiibacteriota. The record is from RNAcentral. RNAcentral also lists the same sequence under 4 other names.